Coffea arabica (coffee) is the source of this 412-nucleotide non-coding RNA. Lineage: Eukaryota; Viridiplantae; Streptophyta; Magnoliopsida; Gentianales; Rubiaceae. The record is from RefSeq and is a predicted model, not a curated record.
GACGUUUUCUCCCAGUUGCAUUUCAGACCAGAUAUAAGGAGGUUCUUGUAAAGGCACAUACUGCUGCAUCUGGAGCGGUGCUAAGAUUGCAAAUAGCUCUUGUUCUUGGUAGGAAAAGGAAACCAAUUGAGUGGUCUGAGUUUCAGAUAAAUGCUAUUCAUACUAGCUUUUGGAAGAUAUCUAUGGUUAUGAUUGAAGAAUGUUGAAGACAAAAUUGCCUUUUGCUCAUGGAGUGGUUCAUUUAGAUGUUCUUCAAUUUCUUAAACUGUGAUUGCUUUUGUAAAUGUACCUUAUGUACAAGUGAUAUUUUGGACAAAUGUUAUUUUUGUAGGCAUUAGUUGGGUAAUGUACACUUGAAUUUGGCAUUUGAGAAUGCUAUAUUAUUACCAUGUAAUCUAAUGCAAAUACUUUU